UGGGGAAUUUUGGACAAUGGGCGAAAGCCUGAUCCAGCAAUGCCGCGUGUGUGAAGAAGGCCUUCGGGUUGUAAAGCACUUUUGUCCGGAAAGAAAUCCUUGGCUCUAAUACAGUCGGGGGAUGACGGUACCGGAAGAAUAAGCACCGGCUAACUACGUGCCAGCAGCCGCGGUAAUACGUAGGGUGCAAGCGUUAAUCGGAAUUACUGGGCGUAAAGCGUGCGCAGGCGGUUUGCUAAGACCGAUGUGAAAUCCCCGGGCUCAACCUGGGAACUGCAUUGGUGACUGGCAGGCUAGAGUAUGGCAGAGGGGGGUAGAAUUCCACGUGUAGCAGUGAAAUGCGUAGAGAUGUGGAGGGAUACCGAUGGCGAAGGCAGCCCCCUGGGCCAAUACUGACGCUCAUGCACGAAAGCGUGGGGAGCAAACAGGAUUAGAUACCCUGGUAGUCCACGCCCUAAACGAUGUCAACUAGUUGUUGGGGAUUCAUUUCCUUAGUAACGUAGCUAACGCGUGAAGUUGACCGCCUGGGGAGUACGGUCG
RNAcentral lists this ribosomal RNA (540 nucleotides) under uncultured bacterium. Its description in RNAcentral is "partial 16S ribosomal RNA". It matches the Rfam family "Bacterial small subunit ribosomal RNA", at positions 355 to 888 of the family's 1533-position model. The record is from RNAcentral.